UUCUAAGUUUAUAUGAAUAUUCAGUAAUAAUAGCAUCAAAAUAUUGAUAAAUGUGGAUUAAUCUUACUCAAGGAAUAUACUGUUACGGUAAUGACCCUCACUAAAGCCGUAUUCAACCAUUAAGUGAAGGUAUCUUAGAGAGAUAAUUUUAUGAUUUCGAAGUCCAACAUCCCAUCCAACUCAUACAGCAUGCAAUCAUUUCCAUCUAUUGCUGAAUCUCGAACACUAUGAAGUUGCAUCAUUCAAUAUUACAAAGCAAACUGUAACAGCUUUCACACAAGGACGUCUUCAAAGAACAUAAGUUUGCAAUUGAACUAAUAAUGUGGAUGUAUAAAGCUUUACUGAAUUUACUUGUGAAUAUCAACUAUUUGCUAAAAAGAAGAAUGACAAAUUUAGAUGAUGAAAUAGCUUUAGAAUAAGAAAAUUUUUCAAUACAAAAAUAAAGUAAAAC
Molecule: long non-coding RNA, 451 nt
Organism: Lucilia sericata (common green bottle fly)
Lineage: Eukaryota; Metazoa; Arthropoda; Insecta; Diptera; Calliphoridae
Exons: 3
Source: RefSeq, a predicted model, not a curated record